This 371-nucleotide RNase P RNA is filed under the name Sphingomonas prati. RNAcentral describes it as "Bacterial RNase P class A". It matches the Rfam family "Bacterial RNase P class A". Rfam says of the family: Ribonuclease P (RNase P) is a ubiquitous endoribonuclease, found in archaea, bacteria and eukarya as well as chloroplasts and mitochondria. Its best characterised activity is the generation of mature 5'-ends of tRNAs by cleaving the 5'-leader elements of precursor-tRNAs. Cellular RNase Ps are ribonucleoproteins. The record is from Rfam by way of RNAcentral. Lineage: Bacteria; Pseudomonadati; Pseudomonadota; Alphaproteobacteria; Sphingomonadales; Sphingomonadaceae.
UCAGAGGGCCGGGCGGCCGCCGGUGCAUUCGUGCACGGGAGGAAAGUCCGGGCUCCAAGGAGCAACGGUGCCGGGUAACGCCCGGCGAGAGCGAUCUUAGGGACAGUGCCACAGAAAACAGACCGCCCGCGCUUCGGCCGGGUCAGGGCGAAACGGUGCGGUAAGAGCGCACCGCGGACCGGGUAACCGGAACGGCACGGCAAACCCCACCGGGAGCAAGACCGAAUAGGGACGGCAUAUGGGCUGCUUCGCCCCGUCGUCCGGGUUGGUCGCUGGAGGCCGCGGGCAACCGUGGUCCUAGAGGAAUGGUCGCCCAUCCGUCGCCUUCGGGCGGUGGUGGACAGAACCCGGCUUACAGGCCCUCUGGCACU